GCGUAUAUUAGCUUUUAUAACAGAAAUAAAUUAAACAUCUAAGCGUUCGUCUAUGUGCUAAUUCAGUUUCAAUUUUACCUUCUUAUAAACAAAUACAUAAUGGCACAAACUCGUCUGCUUGUAUUAUCGCUUGCUUUGUCUUGCUUAUUCGUCUUAUCUGUAUACUGUCAGGAGGUUGCGUUCGCUGGGAACGUCCCAGGAUCAGCAGGUGUCAAUGGACAACCAGCACAAGUUUUUGUAGCCAACGGCAAUAGCCAGCCCCAGCAAACAGUUGCUGCUGUUUCUCAGCCUCUUGCUACUGCUGCCGUUGCUCAACCUCUUGCUACUGCUGCCGUUGCCCAACCAGUCCAAACCUUACCUGUUGCCACUGCUACCACAGCCGCGGUACCCACACAGACUGUUGCUACUCAAACAGCCCUUCCACAAGCUACUACUAGUGCAAACAGUGGCGAGCUCCUUCUUACUAGUGGUGUAGAAUCUAGCUACAUUUUGCCUGCUUCAUUGAUUACUGGACUCGCUUUAAUCACUGUUAUGUAGACAAGUUAAAUUUGAAUCGAAUAUGAAAAGCUGAGCAAAAAAAUUGUUUCCGCUUCAAACACCCAUCGAAUUCAAUAAAGCGUUAGUAAAUUAGAAUUGAAAA
Long non-coding RNA from Schistocerca gregaria, 640 nucleotides. RefSeq lists it as uncharacterized. The record is from RefSeq and is a predicted model, not a curated record. The transcript is spliced from 2 exons. Lineage: Eukaryota; Metazoa; Arthropoda; Insecta; Orthoptera; Acrididae.